RNAcentral lists this ribosomal RNA (497 nucleotides) under uncultured bacterium. RNAcentral's name for it is "partial 16S ribosomal RNA". It matches the Rfam family "Bacterial small subunit ribosomal RNA", at positions 28 to 507 of the family's 1533-position model. The record is from RNAcentral.
GAUGAACGCUGGCGGUGUGCCUAAUACAUGCAAGUCGAGCGAACAGACGAGGAGCUUGCUCCUCUGACGUUAGCGGCGGACGGGUGAGUAACACGUGGAUAACCUACCUAUAAGACUGGGAUAACUUCGGGAAACCGGAGCUAAUACCGGAUAAUAUAUUGAACCGCAUGGUUCAAUAGUGAAAGACGGUUUUGCUGUCACUUAUAGAUGGAUCCGCGCCGCAUUAGCUAGUUGGUAAGGUAACGGCUUACCAAGGCAACGAUGCGUAGCCGACCUGAGAGGGUGAUCGGCCACACUGGAACUGAGACACGGUCCAGACUCCUACGGGAGGCAGCAGUAGGGAAUCUUCCGCAAUGGGCGAAAGCCUGACGGAGCAACGCCGCGUGAGUGAUGAAGGUCUUCGGAUCGUAAAACUCUGUUAUUAGGGAAGAACAAAUGUGUAAGUAACUAUGCACGUAUUGACGGUACCUAAUCAGAAAGCCACGGCUAACUACGUG